Pogoniulus pusillus (Red-fronted tinkerbird) is the source of this 482-nucleotide long non-coding RNA. RefSeq lists it as uncharacterized. Lineage: Eukaryota; Metazoa; Chordata; Aves; Piciformes; Lybiidae. The record is from RefSeq and is a predicted model, not a curated record. The transcript has 3 exons.
CCAACUGGGCAGAGGGAUCCUCCUCCUCUCGUCACUGAUGCUUUUAGUGAUUUCAGGACUAAAAACCCUCAGUAAACAAUGCUGCUGGACACACAUUUGGAGCCCAUUUCCAGAGAACUGAGGUGGACGAGAAGGUGGCAGAACAGGGAAGACAACGGGACCAGAGCCCUUCACAGGAGCCACUGCCUGACCGGGAGCGCCCAUGCUCAUCGCUGCCUCACGGGCCCGGGGAGGCGAUACCGUCAGGGCACCCCCGCGGCUCGCCCUGGACACCAGGGCUGAGGGCUGCGGCUGCCGCUGGCGCCUCCGCAGGGAGCUCCGCGGGCACACCGCGCUUCGGCCCAGCCCUCGCUGGCUGCCCUGCGCGGAGCUGCGUCCCCGCCGCGUCCGCCACAGCGGGGUAAGGACAUCUUCCCCAGCAGGACACCCUCCCAACGCAGGCUCGCCGCUGACAGCCGCAGCCUGCCCGCACACGCCGCCCG